GACAGAGGGUGCAAACGUUGUUCGGAAUUACUGGGCGUAAAGCGCGUGUAGGCGGCUAUGCAAGUCGGAUGUGAAAGCCCUCGGCUCAACCUGGGAACUGCAUUCAAAACUGACAAGCUAGAGUAUGGUAGAGGGUGGUGGAAUUUCCUGUGUAGCGGUGAAAUGCGUAGAUAUAGGAAGGAACACCAGUGGCGAAGGCGACCACCUGGACUGAUACUGACACUGAGGUGCGAAAGCGUGGGGAGCAAACAGG
RNAcentral lists this ribosomal RNA (253 nucleotides) under uncultured prokaryote. RNAcentral's name for it is "partial 16S ribosomal RNA". It matches the Rfam family "Bacterial small subunit ribosomal RNA", at positions 524 to 776 of the family's 1533-position model. The record is from RNAcentral.